AUUGAACGCUGGCGGCAGGCCUAACACAUGCAAGUCGAACGAGGGGCGGACGGGUGAGUAAUGUCUGGGAAACUGCCUGAUGGAGGGGGAUAACUACUGGAAACGGUAGAUAAUACCGCAUACCAUCAGAUGUGCCCAGAUGGGAUUAGCUUGGUGGUGGGGUAAAGGCUCACCAAGGCGACGAUCCCUAGCUGGUCUGAGAGGAUGACCAGCCACACUGGGACUGAGACACGGCCCAUACUCCUACGGGAGGCAGCAGUGGCGAAUAUUGCACAAUGGGCGCAAGCCUGAUGCAGCCAUGCCGCGUGUAUGAAGAAGGCCUUCGGGUUUUAAAGUCCUUUCAGCGGGGAGGCGUUACCCGCAGAAGAAGCACCGGCUAACUCCGUGCCAGCCGCCGCGGUAAUUC
RNAcentral lists this ribosomal RNA (406 nucleotides) under uncultured bacterium. RNAcentral describes it as "partial 16S ribosomal RNA". It matches the Rfam family "Bacterial small subunit ribosomal RNA", at positions 30 to 526 of the family's 1533-position model. The record is from RNAcentral.